This 5859-nucleotide long non-coding RNA is filed under the name Marmota monax (woodchuck). The record is from RNAcentral. Lineage: Eukaryota; Metazoa; Chordata; Mammalia; Rodentia; Sciuridae.
CCUUCAUCAGAAGGUUUUGCCAAGGUGGUGGAACUAGGUGUCUUCGUGUAGCAGACUUGUUUACACUUUUAAUGUGACUGUGAUCCUUUAAGCAUCUCUCAGCUAUGUUGCAAUUUUAAUCUGAAGUGCAGAUAUUAGUUGUAUAAAAAUCCUAUUGGCGAUUUAAUUGUAGCUAUUCUGACAGCUGAAGGAUGUGAGGUUCACCUAGUGCACUGUGGUAUGCACUUCAAGUGCAGUAGUAUCAGAAUCAGAACCCAGUUAUCUGAUUACCAUAUUUAUAUAUCAUGUACACACACACACACACAUAUAUAUAUACACAUUUAUAUGUAUAUAUAUAUAUAUAUAUAUAUAUAUAUAUAUAUACACAUAUAUGCAUACAAUAUACAUGGGUAUAUAUGUAAAUCUGGAUAUAUAUAUACAUAUAUAUACACAUAUAUAUAUACACACACAUAUACAUAGAGAAAUCAUGUGUAUGCAUAUGGGGUGUGUGUGUGUAUUUGACUAUAUCCUGUGCAUACCAUUGAAUUGAAAUUCAUUGUUGAUUUUUAUUUUAUUUUGGACUAAGUUGUUAUUAUCUAGAUAUAUUUUCCUAAAAGUGCCUUUGCUGAGAUUUCAAAGGUAUGCAAUUUUAUUUUGGAGUCAGGACUUCUAGAUAGAAGAGGUGAGGGGCAUAGUAAAUCUUCUACACCAAAAGAAAUGUCAACUCUUAAACCCACCAAAGCUUAAAAAAGAAAAAACCCUACUGAACCUUGGGUAUGAAUUGUGGAAAUCUAAUGCAUUUUAGCCCGAGGAUGCUUCUGUUCACCCCAUCCAUAUGACCCAUUGUGUUGGUGAAGAUGUUCUAAUAAAUAACAAGUUGAGACAACCAGCAACUUUCCUGCUGGAGGGAGAUGACUUGGUUUGGAACAGAGAUGAAAUAUCUCAUCCCUAAGUGUUACUGAAAACAACAUGAUCUGAGGAAAACAAACAAGAAAGACCAACAUGACAACCAGCCUACAGCUGUGAUCCUGUUAAGGGAAGAAAGUUAACUGGGAGAGAGCCAAGGAAGGAGGCACUCAUCCUGGGCCACGAUAAGAUCCAAGAUAUCUCUGGUCAUCAGAAAGGCUGUGUGUACAUGCAAGGCUAUGUAUGCCUCAGGAAAAGAACCUACGUACGUGCUUCUGUCUGAUCUCUGGUUGAGAGGUUUUACACACUAAGAAAGUAAAAGCCAAGUCAGUUUUGUAAACUACCUGAACUUUAAAUGCAUUUCUCAGUCCCUACACAGAUGCAUUAUCAAAUAUUAAAAGCAUUACUUGCUCAAGGUUUUAGAAUACAACCUCUGGCCAAUCAUAAAUUGGUCACUAAACUAUUCCAGGGCAAUCUACAUGAAGCCAGGCUCAACAAAUGAAUGCAGCAACAACAAUAAAAAUCCGAGCAAAGACUUGGUAAUGUAUAUACUUCGGGGAAGAAAGACUUCACAGAAUUAGUUCAGAGAAAUUAUUCAACAAAUAAUAAAACAGCAAUAACAAUAGUCUCCACAAAAAAAUAGAAAUCCUGAGAUACCACAAUAUAUUAUCCAAAAUAUCCAGUUUUCAACAACAACAACAACAAAAAGUGAGACACAUGAAGAAAAAAGAAAGUACGACCGACCUAUGUUCAGGAAAAAAAGUUAUGUCAAUACCAACUGAAUAUCUACUGAAGGAUUCAGUUGUUGGAAUCAGCAAACCCUUCAAAAUAGCUACUAAUACAGUGUUCAAACAAUUAAAUAAAACUUUUAAGGAAUUAGAGAACAAUACAAAAACAACAACUUAUCAAGCAGAGUAUGAAUAAGGAGGUAAACAUUAAAAUAACUAAGUGGCAAUACUUCAACAAGAGAGAGAAAUGAAUUACAGUAGAUGGGAUAGAGAGAGAAGAUGGGAGGGGAGGGAAGGGGGGUUAGUAGGGGAUAGGAAAGACAGCAAAAUACGACAGACACUAGUAUGGCAGUAUGUAUAAAUGUGAAUGUGUAUCCGAUGUGAUUCUGCAAUCUGUAUACGGGGUAAAAAUGGGAGUUCAUAACCCACUUGAAUCAAAUGUAUGAAAUAUGAUAUGUCAAGAGCUUUGUAAUGUUUUGAACAACUAAUUAAAAAAAGAAAAGUUAAAUAGCUAGGGUUAGGAAUCCCUAUAGUCACUUAACAGCAGAAAUCACAGAAGAAUCAGUAUUGAAGACAUAUCAACAGAAAUACUCAAGCUGAAGAAUAUAAAAAAGAAAAAGAAAAGUAAGAAGAGCCUCAGAGAUCCUCUCUGGGAGCGUCAAUCAAUCCUAUGGGCUACUAUUAAUCUUAUCAAUUGGAUAUUAUCAAUCCUACUGAUAAAUGCAUGUUGGAAGUCUCAGGAGAAGAGAGAGAAAAUCUCAGAUGUACAUCAAAUCAUAUGAAGAAAUAAUGGCUAAAUAAUUUCCAAAUUUGAUGAAAAAACGAUAGAUCCAAUAAACUCAAUGACUCCAAGUAGCAUAGAUACAAAUAAAGCCACACCUAGACACAUCAUUGUCAAACUGCUACCAUCAAAAGACAAAGAAAAUCUUGGAAAAAAAAAAAAAAGAGAAAAGUGACUCAUCAUAUUCAUGGCAACAACAACAUGAUUAACAGUUGACUUCUCAUUCAAAACAAAGGGGACCAGAAAGCACAGGGAUGACAUAUUCAAAAUCCUGAAAGACUAUAUGACUGUCAACUAAGAAUUCUAAAUCUAUUAAAAAUGAUCCUUCAGAUUGAAGGUGAAAUAAAGACAUUCCCAGGUAAACAAAAAAUAAGUACAUUUGUUGCUAUCCAACCUGUCUUACAAUAAAUACUGAAGGAAAUCCUUCAGGCUGAAAAGAAACUACUAAAUAGUAACUAGAAUCAACAUGAAGAGAAAAGAAGUAUUAUAAAAGAUAAAUAUGCAGGUAAAUACAGACUUGUAUAUUUUUUUUCUCUUUUCUCUUUGUAACUAGUUUAAAACAUAGAAGAUUGCAUAAGGCAAUACUUAUAAAACUGCACUAUUAUGCUUAUAGCAUAUAAAUAUGUAAUAUAUAUGAAAAUAUGAACAUAAAGGAGGGAGGAAGAAACAGGACUAUCUUGUAAUAAGUCUCUGUAUUCUGUAAGAACUAAUUUAGUACUAAUUUGAGGUAGAUUAAAAUGAGUUAAGAUCUGUUUUGCAAUCCUGAACAAACCACUUAGGAAACCCAACAUAUAUAUAAAAGCAAGAAAGAAAUUAAACAUUUACUACAGAACAAAGUAGUAAAGGAAGGAGAAAGGAAUGAAAGAGGCAGAAAUAAAAAAAUGACAGAUAUCAAAUCAUAUCAAUAAUUUCAUUCAGUAUGAGUAGAUUAAACAUUCCAAUAAAAGGCACAGCUUAUCAGACUGGAUAAAAAUUCAAGUUUCAACUAUAUGCUACAAAUAGGAGACACACUUUUGAUUCAAAUCUAAAAUAGUUUGAAGUUGAAAAGACAAAAUAAUUGAAAUUAUAUACCACACAAACAAGAACUUAGGAGAAUUUGGAUAGGUCUCAUAUUUCUCAGAAAAAAAAAAAAAAGAUGAUUUCAAAAAAACCAGGCUGUUAGAAACAAGGAAGGGCAUUUUGUAAUAUAAAAGAGACAAUUCAUCAGGAAGAUAUUACACUGAUGAAUGUACUCCCACAUCUAACAACAGAUCUACAAAUGAGUGAACAAAAAACUGGAAGAACUUUAAAGAAGAAAAUAACUGCUCAACAAUAAUAACUGGAAAUGUUGACACUCCACCCUCAAUCAUUUGUAAUGUGGUGUUCUAUUAUGACAGAAAAUCAACAAAGCUACAGCAAAUUUAAAUAACUCUAUCAAUCAACUGGAACUAACAGCUAUCUGCAGAAUACUUCACUUGAGAUUAAAACACAUGAAACAUCCUCCAGGGUAGAAUAUCUAUUAGGCCAUAAAACAAGACUUAGUAUCUUUAAGAGGACUGAAAUCAUACCCAUUAUGAUCUCUUCUUACACAACACAAAUUAGAAAUCAACACAGAAGUAAAUUUAGAAAAUAAUUUUGGAAUUAACAUAUUUAAAAAUAAUUAUUGGGUCAAAAAGGAAAUUGUAUGAAACUUAGAAAAUAAACUGAAUGAAAAAUUAACAAAAUUGAUGAAUAUUUAACUAGACUGACCAAGAAAAAGGAAAGACACAACUUACCAAAAUCAGGAAUGAAAGGGAGAACACCAGAACUCACCUUGAAGAAAUUAAAGGGUUUACAAGAAAAUAUUAUCAAGAACAUUAGUAGCAGGCAUGGUGGUAAAUACCUGUAACCCCAGCAGCUCCGGAGGCUAAGGCAGACAUUUCUCAAGUUCAAAGCUGACUUCAGCAACUCAGUGAGGUCCAGUGAGACCCUGCCUCAAAGUAAAAUGUGAAGAGGGCUGGGGAUGUGGCUCAGUAAUUGAGUGCCCUGUGUUCGAUCCUUCGUUUAAAAAAAAAAUAGCUCAACAAACAGGACAAGUUAAAUGAAAUGAGCAAAUCUUAGAAAGACAGAAAUUACCAAAACUAAUUCACAAAGCAAUUAGAAUUAGACUUUUACAGGUAGAGACUGAUUUAGUAACUAAAACUCUUUCUACGUAGGAAAUCCCAGGCCCAGACUCCUUCGUUGGUGAAGUUUACAAAACAUGUAAGGAAAAAUUAAGUCUAAUUCUUCACAAAUUCUUCCAGAAAAUAGAGGUGGGAACACUUUUCAACUCAUUCUGUAAGGCCAAUAUUGCUCUGAUACUAAAGCCAGACAAACAUAUUACAAGAAAAGAGAUCUAUAAAAAACAAAAACAAAACAAAAAACAAUAUUUCUUGAAAACACAGAUUGAAUGCUCUGAAACAUUGGCAAACCAUAUCCAGCUCAUAAAAAAUUUUAAGUUAUGAGCAAGUGGUAUUUGUCCUAGGCAACAAGGUUGGUAUAAUACCUGGAAGUAAUAUAAUAUACCAUCUAAAUAGAAUAAAGGACAAAAAAGAUCAUAUCAAUAAGCAGAAAAAAAAAAAUAUUUGGCAAGGGGCUGGGGAUAUAGCUCAGUUGGUAGCGUUCUUGCCUUGCAUGCACAAGGCCCUGGGUUUGAUCCCCAGCAAAUAUAUAUAUAUAUUUGGCAAAAUCCAGAACUCUGACCAAACAAGUGUGAAAUGAGUUGGGGUAUCUAGGAAUACAUACAGAAAAUCAAAGCCUGUAGUUAAAGUCAUAUUUCAUUGGGAAACAUUAUGCUGUCCCCUAAUAUUAGGAGCAAAGCAAGUUCUGCCUUUCCUUCUUUGUCCCAGUGUGCUAGAGGGUAUAUUGAGGGCAGUAAGGUGAGAUGGACAAGUGAAGGAACAAAUGAAUAAAUAAAAUUAAAGACACCGGAUUGAAAAGGAAGAAGUAAAACUGUAUUUCUUCAAAGGUAAAUGAUCUGUUGUGCAGCAUCCCCAAACAAACAAACAAGGACCAAGAAGCAAGUCCAAUAAUGUGGUAGGAUACCAGGUCACCAUACCAAAGUAAAUAAUGUACCUGUAGAUUAUUAGUGAACAAACAGAACAUGAGUUAGGAAAAUAGUUAUAAAGAGUAAAAGAGUCUCCUCUUAGGAAAGAAUUGUCUUAGGAAAAAAAUUAAGACGUUCACGACUCAUACACUAAGAUUAUUAAAAUAUUGAUGAAAGAAUUGUAAGAAGCGUCAUGUAUUAGAAGAUUCAUUUAAAAAGCAGGUCUCUCCAAAUUAAUCUAUAAAUUCAACACAAUCCCUAUCAAAAUCUCAUAAGUGGAAGCUAAAGAGAAAAAAAAUGAAGAAAAAGAAUAAAAAAUAGAAGAGAUUCUAGUAGAGUAGAAGAAGAGAACCCCAGGGAAGGAGGCCAGGGUAAGGGGAGGUACUAGGGGGAAAAAACUGACCAAAUUAUAUUGUUAUAUU